Long non-coding RNA from Sinocyclocheilus rhinocerous, 813 nucleotides. RefSeq lists it as uncharacterized. The transcript has 3 exons. The record is from RefSeq and is a predicted model, not a curated record. NCBI's taxonomy places the organism in Eukaryota, Metazoa, Chordata, Actinopteri, Cypriniformes, Cyprinidae.
CAGAAACCAAGCGAGAAUGAAGGGCCUGACAACUAAUUGGAACAGGCUUCUCGCUAUGUGUGCAGCGAGGGUGGUGAAAAGCCCGAGAUAUAAGAUGACAAGUGUGAGCACGAAGUAGAGUCGCGUUUAAUUAAUUUUCCUUUCUCCCUUGGGAACCUAGCUGUGCUCGUUGUGAUACAUUUUGAGCUGUAAUCGAAGAAAUAACAGGCAAUAGCAGUAUUCCUUCGACUUGGAAGCGCCUUUGUGUUUUGGAAUCAAUGUGGGGCUGCCUGCUACACAAGAAUAGAGUGAAAACCAUAAAUAUAGUCGAGUUGACCUAAAGAUUAAACAUUGCUGUGAAGGCUGUAGGCCUAAUAAAUGUGUGGAAUCAAGCGUCACUGCACCUGCCCAUGACCUCAACUGAAGCACUGGACACCCAUAGUGGUCACUGAACAGACACAAGCUCCACCACCACUCACCUUCAAUCAUCACCUGAGACAAGAAAAGACUGAAAGAUCCAAAAGAAGAGAAUGAAUGGACAACAGUGUGUGAUCCUGUCAUUGUCAGUGAACCCCAGUCUCCACACCAUGAGAAACAGGAGUGUGCACCGAUCCGCCCGCCAAACCCCAGGAUUUUCAUUUGGAUCCAUUCUAUAGCCCCGCCCUCUCACCCUAAGCCAUGAGUCCAGUCCGUGCAUGACAGUUCCCAACAUCCCCUGCCAAAAGUGUUUCCUAGAUGCAUCAUGAUCCAUGACACUAUCAGCUUCCUGACCUCUGAGUUCUGUGUCUUGUACUUUUUUACUUUUAUAAUCCGAGCCUGUCAACGGUUUCUUAC